This 160-nucleotide unclassified non-coding RNA is filed under the name uncultured Vestigium. Its description in RNAcentral is "sequence contains ITS1". The record is from RNAcentral. Lineage: Eukaryota; Fungi; Ascomycota; Leotiomycetes; Helotiales.
AAGAGUUCAUGCCCUCACGGGUAGACCUCCCACCCUUGUGUAUUUAUACUUUGUUGCUUUGGCGGGCCGCCGCAAGGCUACCGGCUUCGGCUGGUGCGUGCCUGCCAGAGAACCUUCAAACUCUGAAUGUUAGUGUCGUCUGAGUACUAUAUAAUAGUUA